Molecule: ribosomal RNA, 16 nt
Filed under: Coprosma lanceolaris
Lineage: Eukaryota; Viridiplantae; Streptophyta; Magnoliopsida; Gentianales; Rubiaceae
Source: RNAcentral
UGCGAUCAUACCAGCA